RNAcentral lists this ribosomal RNA (252 nucleotides) under uncultured bacterium. RNAcentral's name for it is "partial 16S ribosomal RNA". It matches the Rfam family "Bacterial small subunit ribosomal RNA", at positions 524 to 776 of the family's 1533-position model. The record is from RNAcentral.
UACGAAGGGUGCAAGCGUUGUUCGGAUUUACUGGGCGUAAAGCGCGCGCAGGCGGAUAAGUAAGUCAGAUGUGAAAUCUCGGGGCUCAACCUCGAAACAGCGUCUGAAACUACUAAUCUAGAAUCUUGGAGAGGGAAGGGGAAUUUCUCAUGUAGGGGUAAAAUCCGUAGAGAUGAGAAGGAACACCGGAGGCGAAGGCGCCUUCCUGGCCAAUGAUUGACGCUGAGGGGCGAAAGCGUGGGAGCAAACAGG